RNAcentral lists this ribosomal RNA (779 nucleotides) under uncultured organism. Its description in RNAcentral is "SSU rRNA". It matches the Rfam family "Bacterial small subunit ribosomal RNA", at positions 694 to 1485 of the family's 1533-position model. The record is from RNAcentral.
AUAUCACGCAGAACCCCGAUUGCGAAGGCAGCCUGCCAAGCCAUGACUGACGCUGAUGCACGAAAGCGUGGGGAUCAAACAGGAUUAGAUACCCUGGUAGUCCACGCAGUAAACGAUGAUCACUAGCUGUUUGCGAUACACUGUAAGCGGCACAGCGAAAGCGUUAAGUGAUCCACCUGGGGAGUACGCCGGCAACGGUGAAACUCAAAGGAAUUGACGGGGGCCCGCACAAGCGGAGGAACAUGUGGUUUAAUUCGAUGAUACGCGAGGAACCUUACCCGGGUUUGAACGCAUUCGGACCGAGGUGGAAACACCUUUUCUAGCAAUAGCCGUUUGCGAGGUGCUGCAUGGUUGUCGUCAGCUCGUGCCGUGAGGUGUCGGCUUAAGUGCCAUAACGAGCGCAACCCUUGCCACUAGUUACUAACAGGUAAAGCUGAGGACUCUGGUGGGACUGCCAGCGUAAGCUGCGAGGAAGGCGGGGAUGACGUCAAAUCAGCACGGCCCUUACAUCCGGGGCGACACACGUGUUACAAUGGCGUGGACAAAGGGAAGCCACCUGGCGACAGGGAGCGAAUCCCCAAACCACGUCUCAGUUCGGAUCGGAGUCUGCAACCCGACUCCGUGAAGCUGGAUUCGCUAGUAAUCGCGCAUCAGCCAUGGCGCGGUGAAUACGUUCCCGGGCCUUGUACACACCGCCCGUCAAGCCAUGGGAGCCGGGGGUACCUGAAGUCCGUAAACGCGAGGAUCGGCCUAGGGUAAAACUGGUGACUGGGGCUAAA